UACGUAGGGUGCAAGCGUUAAUCGGAAUUACUGGGCGUAAAGCGUGCGCAGGCGGUUGUGCAAGACAGGUGUGAAAGCCCCGGGCUCAACCUGGGAAUUGCAUUGGAAACUAGCGGGCUGGAGUGUGGCAGAGGGGGGUGGAAUUCCACGUGUAGCAGUGAAAUGCGUAGAGAUGUGGAGGAACACCGAUGGCGAAGGCAGACCCCUGGGCCAACACUGACGCUCAGGCACGAAAGCGUGGGGAGCAAACAGG
This 253-nucleotide ribosomal RNA is filed under the name uncultured bacterium. RNAcentral's name for it is "partial 16S ribosomal RNA". It matches the Rfam family "Bacterial small subunit ribosomal RNA", at positions 524 to 776 of the family's 1533-position model. The record is from RNAcentral.